Daphnia pulex (common water flea) is the source of this 980-nucleotide long non-coding RNA. RefSeq lists it as uncharacterized. Lineage: Eukaryota; Metazoa; Arthropoda; Branchiopoda; Diplostraca; Daphniidae. The record is from RefSeq and is a predicted model, not a curated record. The transcript has 3 exons.
UGUCAGCGCGGAUCAUCAUUUGUUGUUGGUAAUAUGUGUUCGUUUGUGUUAGUUAACCCGUUGUCUGCCACGCCUUUGUUCUCAACACCACCAGCAGGGUCAAACAAAGUUCUAAAUCUGUCAACCCGUGGGCUGCUUUAUCCUUGGAAUGGGACCACUCUUAUUUUGAGGUUAACCCUGCACCGCUAUUCCAUGGACGAAAUCCAUUGGUGGAAACUGACUAGAGAUCAGUGACGACUGACUGACGUGCUGAAUGCUCACAUGCGUGCCAUCCUUCCGUCGCCUCGAGGCAUGGGGGAGUUGUGCCUGCUCCAGCUACGCGUCUAGCGAAGCGUAAUUCGACUACGCAACCGACCGCUUGUCAACUCACCCCUCGGCCCUCGCUGACUCCUAGCCUACUACCCUUGCUCUCAUCUUUCAACACAGCACGGGGUUUUGUCCUUUAGAUCGUUUGGGUGUUUGUGAUCUGUUAUGGCGGUUUCUUGAGGACGACGAUGAUGUGAGUAUCGAGUUUUUUUCUUGUUACUGUAUGUUAUUUAAAUUCAGUUGAGUGUCGAUGAGCUAGAGCAGGAACGUUUUUGUUUUAGACAUUUAUGUUUUUUGACGCUAGAUAGCACCCGCAAGGUCUUAAAGACAGAAGAACUCCAUCGACAAUAGAACCCCAAUAUUUUAAAUAAUUUUUAAAAUUUUUUUGUAUGCGACAGUAGAACUCAAACGAGAGUAGAACUCAAAGCCGUUGCCGUUGCAUUCAGUCAUUUGGAACAGAAGUCUAAUGACUGUCAAUAGGUGGCUGUGAAUAAGUGGCUGUAUGAUGUCCACCAGGUGGCGCGAGUGUCUUCAGGGACGCUAAUCUGCCAUUUUGAUCCAAGACGCAGCGGAAACGGGUUGUUGGUUGUGACGUUUCUCACGAUGAAAAUCAAAAGGUGAUUUAGCACGUAGAAACCAAUUUUCCAAAUCAUUCAACUCAGACUUGGAAGUGC